Molecule: ribosomal RNA, 301 nt
Filed under: uncultured bacterium
Lineage: Bacteria
Description: partial 16S ribosomal RNA
Rfam family: Bacterial small subunit ribosomal RNA
Source: RNAcentral
CAGCAGCCGCGGUAAUACGUAGGGUGCAAGCGUUAUCCGGAAUUACUGGGCGUAAAGCGUGCGCAGGCGGUUAUAUAAGACAGAUGUGAAAUCCCCGGGCUCAACCUGGGAACUGCAUUUGUGACUGUAUAGCUAGAGUACGGCAGAGGGGGAUGGAAUUCCGCGUGUAGCAGUGAAAUGCGUAGAUAUGCGGAGGAACACCGAUGGCGAAGGCAAUCCCCUGGGCCUGUACUGACGCUCAUGCACGAAAGCGUGGGGAGCAAACAGGAUUAGAUACCCCCGUAGUCCCUGUCUCUUAUAC